GGCGAUGUAGCUCAGCUGGCCAGAGCAAGCGGCUCAUAUCCGCUGUGUCCGGAGUUCAAGUCUCUGCAUCGCCA
Molecule: transfer RNA, 74 nt
Filed under: Myxococcota bacterium
Lineage: Bacteria; Pseudomonadati; Myxococcota
Description: tRNA-Met
Rfam family: tRNA
About the family: Transfer RNA (tRNA) molecules are approximately 80 nucleotides in length. Their secondary structure includes four short double-helical elements and three loops (D, anti-codon, and T loops).
Source: RNAcentral